UAGUGCAGUGGAUUUAAGCUCCACAAAUAAAGUUUCACACUUUUUUUAGAAAUAUC
Molecule: transfer RNA, 56 nt
Filed under: Mantis religiosa (praying mantis)
Lineage: Eukaryota; Metazoa; Arthropoda; Insecta; Mantodea; Mantidae
Description: partial tRNA-Leu
Source: RNAcentral